GUGCACCAGGCGCGAAUCUUUAGCAAUGCCCGAAAGGGUGACUAUGCGACGCCGCGUGAGCGAUGAAGUCCUUCGGGACGUAAAGCUCUGUCAGGUGGGAUGAAUCUUUCGACCUUAACAGGGUUGGAAUUUGACCGUACACCGAGAGGAAGCCACGGCUAACUCCGUGCCAGCAGCCGCGGUAAGUACGGAGGCGGCAAGCGUUGUUCGGAUUUAUGGGUGUAAAAGGCAUGUAGGUGUCCUAGUAAGUCCUGGCUGAAAAUCCUUCGGCUCAACCGAAGAACGUGUCAGGAAACUGCUGGGAUUGAGUACGGAAGAGGAGAACGGAAUUCCCGGUGUAAGGGUGAAAUCUGUAGAUAUCGGGAGGAACACCGAAGUGG
This 380-nucleotide ribosomal RNA is filed under the name uncultured microorganism. Its description in RNAcentral is "bacterial SSU rRNA". It matches the Rfam family "Bacterial small subunit ribosomal RNA", at positions 346 to 717 of the family's 1533-position model. The record is from RNAcentral.